AUUCAAGUGACGAGUCCCAAAUAGGACGAAACGUGCAUCCUGGAU
Schistosoma mattheei is the source of this 45-nucleotide non-coding RNA. NCBI's taxonomy places the organism in Eukaryota, Metazoa, Platyhelminthes, Trematoda, Strigeidida, Schistosomatidae. The record is from Rfam.